Molecule: ribosomal RNA, 422 nt
Filed under: uncultured bacterium
Lineage: Bacteria
Description: bacterial SSU rRNA
Rfam family: Bacterial small subunit ribosomal RNA
Source: RNAcentral
CCAUCCCGCGUGCAGGAAGACGGCCCUAUGGGUUGUAAACUGCUUUUAUCAGGGAAGAAACCCCUUGACUUGUUAAGGGCUGACGGUACCUGAUGAAUAAGCACCGGCUAACUCCGUGCCAGCAGCCGCGGUAAUACGGAGGGUGCAAGCGUUAUCCGGAAUCACUGGGUUUAAAGGGUGCGUAGGCGGCUUAAUAAGUCAGAGGUGAAAGACUACAGCUUAACUGUGGGCCUGCCUUUGAUACUGUUAAGCUGGAAUCAGGUUGAAGUUAGUGGAAUGCGGCAUGUAGCGGUGAAAUGCAUAGAUAUGUCGUAGAACACCGAUUGCGAAGGCAGCUAACUGGGCUUGAAUUGACGCUGAGGCACGAAACGUGGGGAUCGAACAGGAUUAGAUCCCUGGUAGUCCACGCCCUAAACGAUGCU